RNAcentral lists this ribosomal RNA (1281 nucleotides) under metagenome. RNAcentral describes it as "SSU rRNA". It matches the Rfam family "Eukaryotic small subunit ribosomal RNA", at positions 493 to 1768 of the family's 1831-position model. The record is from RNAcentral.
UUUUUGGGCUUGGUAAUUGGAAUGAGGGAGAGUUAAACGGACCAUCGAGUAUCCAUUGGAGGGCAAGUCUGGUGCCAGCAGCUGCGGUAAUACCAGCUCCAAUAGCGUAUAUUAAAGUUGUUGCAGUUAAAAAGCUCGUAGUUGGACUUGUGUGCGCUGUCCGCGGGUGGCCUGCGCCCAAAAGGGCGUUUCGGUUCGGCCCCGGUGGCGCCUUGAAAUCUGCAGCUGGGGGGACGUUGGCCUUAACUGGUCGGCGACCGCACGCCGGCUGCUCGGUUACUGUGAGAAAAUUAGAGUGUUCAAGGCAGGCAUUGGGUGCAAUUGAAUACAUUAGCAUGGAAUAAUAAAAUAUGGCUCCUGCCGUAUUUUGUUGGUUUUGACUGGUGGGAGUAAUGAUUGAUAGGGACGGUUGGGGGUGCUAGUAUUGAGCGGCCAGAGGUGAAAUUCAUGGAUUCGCUCAAGACUAACUUAUGCGAAAGCAUUCACCAAGGACGUCCUCUUUAAUCAAGAACGAAAGUUGGGGGAUCGAAGACGAUCAGAUACCGUCGUAGUCUCAACCAUAAACUAUGUCGACUCGGGAUCGGCGGUAGUUUUUUCAUUAAGACACUGUCGGGACCACGGGAGAAAUCAAAGUGUCUGGACUCUGGGGGAAGUAUGGUCGCAAGGCUGAAACUUGAAGGAAUUGACGGAAGGGCACCACCAGGAGUGGAGCCUGCGGCUUAAUUUGACCCAACACGGGGAAACUUACCAGGUCCAGAGAUGUAGAGGAUUGACAGAUUGAAGCUCUUUCUUGAUCACUUCGGUGGUGGUGCAUGGCCGUUCUUAGUUGGUGGAGUGAUUUUCUGGUUAAUUCCGUUAACGAACGAGACCUCAGCCUGCUAGUGUAGUCGGCUGGAUUGCCUUUGGCGAUCCGUGAUUUCGACUUCUUAGAGGGACAAUCGACGCGCAGUCGAUGGAAGUUUGAGGCAAUAACAGGUCUGUGAUGCCCUUAGAUGUUCUGGGCCGCACGCGCGCUACACUGCUGGGCUCAGCGAGUUUUACUUGGCCGAGAGGCCCGGUUAAUCUUGUGAAAUCCCAGCGUGCUUGGGCUCGCCUCCUGCAACUGGAGGCGCCAACGAGGAAUUCCUAGUAGACGCAGGUCAUCAACCUGCAUCGAUUACGUCCCUGCCCUUUGUACACACCGCCCGUCGUUCCAUAAGAGUGAGGCAUCCGGUGAAUUCUCGGGAGAGCCUGGGCGUGGCCAACAAUGGUCUGCUCGGGUUUGAACUUGCAUAAACUUGG